AGUGAACGCUGGCGGUAGGCCUAACACAUGCAAGUCGAACGGCAGCACAGUAAGAGCUUGCUCUUACGGGUGGCGAGUGGCGGACGGGUGAGGAAUACAUCGGAAUCUACUUUUUCGUGGGGGAUAACGUAGGGAAACUUACGCUAAUACCGCAUACGACCUACGGGUGAAAGCAGGGGAUCUUCGGACCUUGCGCGAUUGAAUGAGCCGAUGUCGGAUUAGCUAGUUGGCGGGGUAAAGGCCCACCAAGGCGACGAUCCGUAGCUGGUCUGAGGGGAUGAUCAGCCACACUGGAACUGAGACACGGUCCAGACUCCUACGGGAGGCAGCAGUGGGGAAUAUUGGACAAUGGGCGCAAGCCUGAUCCAGCCAUACCGCGUGGGUGAAGAAGGCCUUCGGGUCGUAAAGCCCUUUUGUUGGGAAAGAAAAGCAGCAGGUUAAUACCCCGCUGUUCUGACGGUACCCAAAGAAUAAGCACCGGCUAACUUCGUG
Molecule: ribosomal RNA, 492 nt
Filed under: uncultured bacterium
Lineage: Bacteria
Description: partial 16S ribosomal RNA
Rfam family: Bacterial small subunit ribosomal RNA
Source: RNAcentral